ACACAUUGGGGCUGAUUCUGGAUUCGACGGGAUUUGCGAAACCCAAGGUGCAUGCCGAGGGGCGGUUGGCCUCGUAAAAAGCCGCAAAAAAUAGUCGCAAACGACGAAAACUACGCUUUAGCAGCUUAAUAACCUGCUUAGAGCCCUCUCUCCCUAGCCUCCGCUCUUAGGACGGGGAUCAAGAGAGGUCAAACCCAAAAGAGAUCGCGUGGAAGCCCUGCCUGGGGUUGAAGCGUUAAAACUUAAUCAGGCUAGUUUGUUAGUGGCGUGUCCGUCCGCAGCUGGCAAGCGAAUGUAAAGACUGACUAAGCAUGUAGUACCGAGGAUGUAGGAAUUUCGGACGCGGGUUCAACUCCCGCCAGCUCCACCAAAAUUCUCCAUCGGUGAUUACCAGAGUCAUCCGAUGAAGUCCUAAGAGCCCGCACGGCGCAAGCCCUGCGGGCUUUUUU
RNAcentral lists this transfer-messenger RNA (449 nucleotides) under Escherichia coli 55989. The stretch from base 8 to 370 matches the Rfam family "transfer-messenger RNA". From Rfam's summary of the family: Bacterial tmRNA, also known as 10Sa RNA or SsrA, is named for its dual tRNA and mRNA-like properties. The record is from RNAcentral. Lineage: Bacteria; Pseudomonadati; Pseudomonadota; Gammaproteobacteria; Enterobacterales; Enterobacteriaceae.